This 253-nucleotide ribosomal RNA is filed under the name uncultured bacterium. Its description in RNAcentral is "partial 16S ribosomal RNA". It matches the Rfam family "Bacterial small subunit ribosomal RNA", at positions 524 to 776 of the family's 1533-position model. The record is from RNAcentral.
UACGAAGGGGACUAGCGUUGUUCGGAAUCACUGGGCGUAAAGCGCACGUAGGCGGAUUUGUAAGUCAGGGGUGAAAUUCCGGGGCUCAACCUCGGAACUGCCUUUGAUACUGCGAAUCUUGAGUCCGAUAGAGGUGGGUGGAAUUCCUAGUGUAGAGGUGAAAUUCGUAGAUAUUAGGAAGAACACCGGUGGCGAAGGCGGCCCACUGGAUCGGUACUGACGCUGAGGUGCGAAAGCGUGGGGAGCAAACAGG